Non-coding RNA from Delphinapterus leucas (beluga whale), 3210 nucleotides. NCBI's taxonomy places the organism in Eukaryota, Metazoa, Chordata, Mammalia, Artiodactyla, Monodontidae. The record is from RefSeq and is a predicted model, not a curated record.
CAUACCCUUGAGUAAAAAAAGUGACAACUGUUAUCAGUUGCAACUAACUCAAACUGAAAGGGAAAUUGAUUUCCAUAGUGAAACAGUAUAGGCCACUCAAUUUAGAAUGCUGUGAAGGCCUGGUGUAACCAGAAAUCAAAACAGUAAAUAGUAUGUUUCAGAAAAAUCUUUGCGAUAACCUUUGUAGGCAUAGGAUAACAGUAAUAAAUUCUAACACUUCAUUGUCCUUCGAUAUUCAUCUCAAUGAAUACAUCCCAACUCAAACUACAUGGUAGACCUUAUAUAACCCAAAUUCUCUACUAGACUCCAAGCUAACAAUUUUUCAGUAUUAGGAAAUACAAGAAAGAAUCACAUCUAAUCUAUAUAUGUCCAUGAUAGACAGAAGAAUAAGGGGCAUUAAAUAAUCAGAUGUCUGCUUUUGUAUACCUUUUGUUUAAUAUGACUUGGUAUAAAGCCUUCCCCACCCAUAGGUUAUACAUAUAUUCUAUUAACUCUUCCAAGUUUUGGUAUUAAUCUUUUUUUCAGUUACUUUUCGGCAUCUAGCACAAGGUAGGAAUUCAACUUUAUUUUGUUCCACGUGGAUAGUUGGUUACACCUACCCUUUUCCCACUGAAUUAAAAUGCAACCUUGGUCAAUAUAUUAAAUCUCCACAUUUAUUGGGUUUUAUUUCUGGGCAUUCCAUCUGUUUAACUUAUCUAUUCCAAUGCCACAGAAGUUCUACACUAUGUUUAAACACCUGGUAAGACAAGUCCUAUCUAGCUUCUUUUCUUAGCUAUUUUUGGACACUGGUCCUUCCACAGAAGUUUUGAGAUCUUUUUCCCCCAAUUUCAAAAACAAUCCAUGAGGAUUCAAAAUAGAAACACAUUAAAAGUAUUUAUUAAUUUGAGGAGAAUUUACUUAUUUUUAAAUAUUUAUUUAUAUAUUUAUUUGGCUAUGCCAGGUCUUAGCUGCAGCACGGGGGAUCGUUGUUGCAGCGUGCAGAAUCUUUAGUUGCAAUUUUAUAAAUUCUAACUUAAGAACAUAGUUAUGCUUUUAUAUUUGCUUAAUCUUGUUUCGUGUUCUUCAAAAAAAUUUUUAUAGAUCUCGUACAUUUCUUGUUAAAUUUAUUCCUAAGGAUUUUUGGUCGCAGUAGCUUUGGAUACUACUAUGAAAAGAAUACUCCCUGCCACUUCCAUUUCUACUGGGUAUUACUAUGAUAGAGAAAAAUAUUUACACACUUAUUUCAUAAUCUUAUUUCAUAAUUACUUUACUAACUUAGCUAACUUAGGUAGCUGUUUUCCAGUGUCUCUCGGGCUGGCUUAGAAAAUAUAUAAAAUUUGUUUCCCUCCUUUUCAAAUAUUUAUUCCAAUCAUUUAAUCUUGUCAUAAUACUUUCCAACCAAUGCUAAAUAAUGAUGGUGGUAGAGAGGGAAUCCCUGUUAAUUCCUAAUUUUGAUAGAGAUAUCUCUGGAGUAUUUUCAAUUACAAUAGUGCCUGUAAGUGGCAUCAGAUAACAGCCUCUAUUAUAUUUAAAUAACUGCCUCCCUUUCUAGGUGCACUUUCAUUAGGAAUGAUUUAAAAUUUUAUCUAACCUACCACUAUGAUUACAUGACUUCUGUCCUGUAAUGUGGUUGAUAUAAUCAAUUAUGUUGACAGAUUUCCUGAAAAUAAAUCACGAUUACAUUUCUGUGAUAAACCCUGCUGACAACAGUCCAAUACUCUUUUCAUAUACUGGCAGGUUCAAUUUGCUAGUAUUUUACUUUUGAAUUUACAUUAAUAGCUGAGAUUAAACUACUGCUUUCUUUACUGAACUGUUACCUCUCCUUUUCACCUUCCCUUAUAUAAAGGUCUCUAUCUGAUUCAUAUGUUGUCUCUAUAGUUUUCUUCAGAUAGGAUACACCAGUAUCUUUUUUCAGCUUGACAGGUGAAGAGUCUCUUGUCGGAGAGUAGGAUUCUUGAGUUGUAGUCCCUUUUUGUCCACGAAUGGAUGUCAUUUCACUUCUACUUUUUUAGGUUUUAAGUAAGACUGUCUGAUGUCAAUUUGUUUUUUUUCUUUAUAUGUAACUUGUCCUUCCAACCUGGAAGCUUAGAGGAUUUUUACUUUUUCCUCGGAAUCCAGGAACUGUAUCAGUCUAUACACAGGGGAGAAGGGGUAUGUACUUUCUCUCCGUGCCUCCUGGCUGGGCAACAGUCAGCUAUUUUGAUCUGCGGUCUUGAGUCUUUCUUCAUUAAAGAUUCCCCUUUAUUAUUUGUUGAAUUACUGCCUCUCCACUUUUUUUUUUCUCCUUUAGAACUCCUUGUAUAUCAGAUCUCCAAGAUUUGUCCUUAAGCCUCUAAUCAUUUCCCUCUUUAUUUUAUCUCUUAGUACUUUUUGCUCUGUGUAAUGACAUAGUUCUUCCCUUUAAUUUUCUAGGCCAGUAAUUUGGAACUUAAUAGCAUUUGUCCUCUUUUCAAAUAAUCUAAACAUUAAAUGUGAAAAUCAUUUUUUCUAGUUCUCAAGAAUUUACGUUAUAAUUCAAUCUGCUUUUUAAAAAUAAUUCAAUCUGCUUAAGUAUUCUUAUCAUUUUGCUCAAGUGAGUAUUUCCUUCAAUAAUUCUGUUUUGACUAGAUUUUACCUAUUCUAGUGGUCUGCUUCCAUGACUUCUGUCUGGCUGCUGGUCCCUUUUAUGUGCACUGUUAUGUUUACUGGGUUAGCCCCGACUCUUAUCUACCCUUCAGGCUAGACCCGACUGCUGGGCAGCCUUAAUGGCAGCACGCUGGCAGUGCUUGGGAGCCUCAUGCCCAUGGUGAAGCAAUGGUCUGGCUGGCAAGCUGUCAGCCUCCCAUCAAGACGAUGAAGAAGGAAGCCUCUCGACCCCUCAGGCUCCUCAGCUGCAAAGGCCAUCAUUCAAGUUACGACUUCAUCAUCUCAUGUAUAGGUUCCUGAUUUCUUUGUUGGUCUCUCAGACUCUCAAGCCACUCUCAUUCAAUCUGCAUGAAACUUACCGGAAAAAGAGCCCUGUGGGUUACUUUGGACUACUACAUAAAAAGCAAUAAAAGGCUGUCAUGAGAGAACUUCUCAUCUCCUCCUGGGCUCUGAUGAAAACAUGAGACCAGUUCGCCUCACCCCGAGGGUACAUCUCCAUUCUCGACUGUGGCUUAGCUACCGCACAGCAUUGGCUCCUAGGCUACAGGGUGCCCCACCACUCAUGAUGCAACUAUCAUCUGGCCCCUUCUGUUUCAGCGUCGCCCU